Molecule: ribosomal RNA, 253 nt
Filed under: uncultured bacterium
Lineage: Bacteria
Description: partial 16S ribosomal RNA
Rfam family: Bacterial small subunit ribosomal RNA
Source: RNAcentral
UACGUAGGGGGCUAGCGUUGUCCGGAAUCAUUGGGCGUAAAGCGCGCGUAGGCGGCCCGGUAAGUCCGCUGUAAAAGUCCAGGGCUCAACCCUGGACCUGCAUUCGAUACGGGCAGACUAGAGUUCGGCAGGGGAGACUGGAAUUCCUGGUGUAGCGGUGAAAUGCGCAGAUAUCGGGAGGAACACCGGUGGCGAAGGCGGUUCUCUGGGCCUUACCUGACGCUGAGGAGCGAAAGCGUGGGGAGCGAACAGG